RNAcentral lists this unclassified non-coding RNA (345 nucleotides) under soil metagenome. RNAcentral's name for it is "partial contains 5.8S ribosomal RNA, internal transcribed spacer 2, and large subunit ribosomal RNA". The stretch from base 1 to 119 matches the Rfam family "5.8S ribosomal RNA", at positions 35 to 154 of the family's 154-position model. The record is from RNAcentral.
GAUGAAGAACGCAGCGAAAUGCGAUACGUAAUGUGAAUUGCAAAUUCAGUGAAUCAUCGAGUCUUUGAACGCACAUUGCGCCCCCUGGUAUUCCGGGGGGCAUGCCUGUCCGAGCGUCAUUGCUGCCCUCAAGCACGGCUUGUGUGUUGGGCCCCGUCCUCCGAUCCCGGGGGACGGGCCCGAAAGGCAGCGGCGGCACCGCGUCCGGUCCUCGAGCGUAUGGGGCUUUGUCACCCGCUCUGUAGGCCCGGCCGGCGCUUGCCGAUCAACCCAAAUUUUUUAUCCAGGUUGACCUCGGAUCAGGUAGGGAUACCCGCUGAACUUAAGCAUACAAUAAGCGGAGGA